This 75-nucleotide transfer RNA is filed under the name Chlamydiia bacterium. RNAcentral's name for it is "tRNA-Pro". It matches the Rfam family "tRNA". Rfam says of the family: Transfer RNA (tRNA) molecules are approximately 80 nucleotides in length. Their secondary structure includes four short double-helical elements and three loops (D, anti-codon, and T loops). Further hydrogen bonds mediate the characteristic L-shaped molecular structure. tRNAs have two regions of fundamental functional importance: the anti-codon, which is responsible for specific mRNA codon recognition, and the 3' end, to which the tRNAs corresponding amino acid is attached (by aminoacyl-tRNA synthetases). tRNAs cope with the degeneracy of the genetic code in two manners: having more than one tRNA (with a specific anti-codon) for a particular amino acid; and 'wobble' base-pairing, i.e. permitting non-standard base-pairing at the 3rd anti-codon position. The record is from RNAcentral. Lineage: Bacteria; Pseudomonadati; Chlamydiota; Chlamydiia.
CGGAGUAUAGCGCAGUCUGGCUAGCGCAUCGCGUUUGGGACGCGAGGGUCGGGGGUUCAAAUCCCUCUACUCCGA